Molecule: ribosomal RNA, 622 nt
Filed under: uncultured fungus
Lineage: Eukaryota; Fungi
Description: SSU rRNA
Rfam family: Eukaryotic small subunit ribosomal RNA
Source: RNAcentral
CUCGUAGUUGAACCUUGGGUCUGGCUGGCCGGUCCGCCUCACCGCGAGUACUGGUCCGGCUGGACCUUUCCUUCUGGGGAACCUCAUGGCCUUCACUGGCUGUGGGGGGAACCAGGACUUUUACUGUGAAAAAAUUAGAGUGUUCAAAGCAGGCCUAUGCUCGAAUACAUUAGCAUGGAAUAAUAGAAUAGGACGUGCGGUUCUAUUUUGUUGGUUUCUAGGACCGCCGUAAUGAUUAAUAGGGAUAGUCGGGGGCGUCAGUAUUCAGCUGUCAGAGGUGAAAUUCUUGGAUUUGCUGAAGACUAACUACUGCGAAAGCAUUCGCCAAGGAUGUUUUCAUUAAUCAGGGAACGAAAGUUAGGGGAUCGAAGACGAUCAGAUACCGUCGUAGUCUUAACCAUAAACUAUGCCGACUAGGGAUCGGGCGGUGUUUCUAUAAUGACCCGCUCGGCACCUUACGAGAAAUCAAAGUUUUUGGGUUCUGGGGGGAGUAUGGUCGCAAGGCUGAAACUUAAAGAAAUUGACGGAAGGGCACCACAAGGCGUGGGGCCUGCGGCUUAAUUUGACUCAACACGGGGAAACUCACCAGGUCCAGACAAAAUAAGGAUUGACAGAUUGAGAG